UCGAGAAUUUUUCUCAAUGGGGGAAACCCUGAAGGAGCGACGCCGCGUGGAGGAUGAAGGUCUUCGGAUUGUAAACUCCUGUCAUUAGAGAACAAAACCCACUUAGUAACUGAUGUUGGGUUUGAUAGUAUCUGAAGAGGAAGAGACGGCUAACUCUGUGCCAGCAGCCGCGGUAAUACAGAGGUCUCAAGCGUUGUUCGGAUUCAUUGGGCGUAAAGGGUGCGCAGGCGGCGGGGCAAGUCGGACGUGAAAUCUCGGGGCUUAACCCCGAAACUGCGUUCGAUACUGCCUUGCUUGAGGACUGGAGAGGAGACUGGAAUUCCUGGUGUAGCAGUGAAAUGCGUAGAUAUCAGGAGGAACGCCAAUGGCGAAGGCAAGUCUCUGGACAGUUCCUGACGCUCAUGCACGAAGGCCAGGGGAGCAAACGGGAUUAGAUACCCCCGUAGUCC
RNAcentral lists this ribosomal RNA (449 nucleotides) under uncultured bacterium. Its description in RNAcentral is "bacterial SSU rRNA". It matches the Rfam family "Bacterial small subunit ribosomal RNA", at positions 355 to 796 of the family's 1533-position model. The record is from RNAcentral.